UUACUUAAGAGUUUGAUCCUGGCUCAGGAUGAACGCUGGCGGCGUGCCUAACACAUGCAAGUCGAGCGAGAAGCUGAUGUGCGAAGCCUUCGGGCCAAACU
This 101-nucleotide ribosomal RNA is filed under the name Eubacteriales Family XIII. Incertae Sedis bacterium. RNAcentral's name for it is "partial 16S ribosomal RNA". It matches the Rfam family "Bacterial small subunit ribosomal RNA", at positions 1 to 104 of the family's 1533-position model. Lineage: Bacteria; Bacillati; Bacillota; Clostridia; Peptostreptococcales; Anaerovoracaceae. The record is from RNAcentral.